Spinacia oleracea (spinach) is the source of this 3739-nucleotide RNA transcript. It is a transcript of the gene named peptide chain release factor 1, mitochondrial, with no coding region annotated. NCBI's taxonomy places the organism in Eukaryota, Viridiplantae, Streptophyta, Magnoliopsida, Caryophyllales, Amaranthaceae. The transcript has 11 exons. The record is from RefSeq and is a predicted model, not a curated record.
AAAGAUUCAAUCAAUCUAAAUAAAUUUAACCAGUUUCACUAAGUUUAUUCUCUAAUGUUUCUCUUUAAAGCUUGUUCUGUUAAAACUAAGGGUUAAUAAGUACAAUUUAUAACUGAAAAUCAAGUGAAUAAACGUUUUUGGUGCCACACUUGGCUGCGUAUUUGAAAGGAGGUUUAUGAGUGGUGAUUUGAGGACGAAGAAGAGGAAGAAUUUCAAUUCCCAGGAAGAAGAAUGAGGAAUUACCUGAAGUUAGGGUUAGGGUUAGGGUUAGGGUUAGGAUUUGGGACGGUGUCAAUGUGCAGGAAUGUGUUUGCUUCGUCAAAAAUGUCAGCUCGUGUUCUUGGAUUGAAUACUGAGUUGCUUCGCUUCUUCUCCGCCCCUGCAGAGCAUGUGGCUCAUUUAUCACCCGACAUAAUCCAAAUUAUGGAGCAAAGGUUGUCAUCUAUUGAGCGGAGAAGUGCUUUACUUCAUGAAUUCAUCAACAAGCCAGAUGCCUUACCAGCCGAGUAUGUAAGAGCCAAUAAGGACCUCAAGAAACUCCGAAGUUCGGUGGAGUUAAUACAACACUUGAGAGCCAAGCAGAAGGAAAUCGAUAGUCUCAAGUCACUCAUGGCUGAAUGUGCUGAUGACAAAGAUAUGCUAAAGAUGGCAAAUGAGGAAAUGGAUCAGGCUGUUGAAGGAGAGAAAAGGCUGCAAAUGUUGCUGCUGAAAUCAUUGCUUCCAAAGGAUGACGCUGAUGAAAGGGGCAGCAUUCUGGAGGUGAGAGCAGGUACUGGAGGGGAAGAAGCUUCUUUAUUUGCAAUGGAAAUAUUCAAAAUGUAUGAGAGAUACUCACAGAAGAAGGGAUGGAAAUUUGAAGUUGUUUAUAUAACAGAGACUGACCUUAGGGGAUUCAAGGAAGCUAUUGGAUUGAUCUCGGGGGCUGGUGUGUAUGGGAAGCUCAAGUUUGAGAGUGGUAUUCACAGAGUUCAGCGCGUUCCUGUGACAGAGAAGUCUGGCCGGGUCCAUACAAGUGCUGUAACUGUUGCCAUCCUCCCUCAGGCUGAUGAGGUAGAUGUCCAAUUGAGAAGUGAUGAUUUGAGAAUUGAUACUUACCGCUCUGGGGGUUCAGGUGGUCAGCAUGCUAAUACUACAAACAGUGCUGUGAGGAUAACUCAUAUUCCUUCUGGGCUGACAGUAUCUAUUCAAGAUGAACGGUCACAGCACAAGAACAAGGCCAAAGCAUUGAAGAUACUGUGUGCAAAGCUUUAUGAAAUUGAGAGGUAUACAAGUCAGAGAAACCGAUCAAAGCUUCGGGCAGAGCAGAUUGGCAGUGGUGACAGAUCCGAACGCAUUCGUACAUACAACUUCCCACAAGGGCGUGUCACUGAUCACCGUGUUGGGAUCACGCAUCACUCAAUAAAUGAGGUGCUGCAGGGGGAGAGUUUAGAUGUAUUCACUGAUGCUCUUCUCUUACAGCAGGAAAUGGAUGCCAUUGCAAAUUUCUCAGCCAGCUAGUAUUCUGAGUGAAGAUAACCUUUUGCACAUUGUGAUUUGUUAAGAGUUUUCAAAAUAAUACUUCAAAGGUACAAGUGUGAUCAUGCUAUGGCUGUUGGAACGCUUUCUUCUGUGGAGCUUCAACUACUUUCCGUAGUCAUAAAUAGCAGCAUAAUUUGGGGUGGUAGCUGUUGUCAACCGUCCAGGAGGUAAAGGUGGGAUCAAGGAUAAUGGCAGUAAGGAUGACGAAAACCUGUCAGCUUCAAUGAAGACGGUGAAUGCCCUUUGUGCACCAUCUACAUUCAAAGAUUCAUGUAUUAAGAGUUUAGGUUCAGCAGCACAAAACGAGAGUGCAACCCCUCAAGACUACGUUCAAAUUGGGAUUCAAAUGGUUUUACAGGAGAUAUUAAAGGCCAGCAAUCUCACUGAUGCCUUUGUCUCCAAAGCUAAUUCAACCAAAUAUGUGGAGAGAACUAACAUGGCUAUUCAAACUUGUAAAGACCUCUACAAUUUGGCUGUAGAUCGCCUCGAGGGUUCCAUUAAAAAAGUUAAUGAUCCUAAAAUGUAUAAAGAUAAGGGUAUUGUUUGGAAUGUUCGUCUAUGGCUCACUGAUGUUGUCACUUUUGCCACUAGUUGUGUAGAUGAAUUUGAUGAGGCUGAAGCUCCUGAACUUCAAAAUAAGAUGCAGGAUGCUGUUGUCAAUGCCACUGAGCUCACUGUUAGCAUGCUCGAUAUCAUUACCAUCUUCAAUGAAGCUCUUGCAGACUUGGGUCUUUCUCCUGAUGCCAGCAAAUUGGUUGAGCUUUCAACUACAGUUAAUGCUACAUCCAAAGUUGUAGUUACUAGUAGCCGUCGCCUCCUUGGCAUGGCCGUUGAUGGAGAAGGCUAUCCGACAUGGUUAUCUCGUAGUGAUCGUAAGCUCUUAGGUGCCAAAAAUAUGAACAAGAAAAAGGGGGUUGGUAAGGGCAAGGGCAAGAAGAAAGGAAAGAAGGGAAAGGGCAAGAAGAAGGCAGGAGCUGCAGUAGCAGGAGCAGCAGCAGGAGCAGCUGCUGUAAUUCAACCGGGUAUGAAGCCCAAUGCUGUGGUUGCUCAAGAUGGUAGCGGUCAGUUCAAGACGAUCAGCGAUGCUGUAAGGGCACAUCCAGGGAAGAAUGCACAGGGUCGGUAUGUUAUAUAUGUUAAGGCUGGAAUCUAUAGGGAGGAUGUACUCAUAGGUAAGGAGCACACUAAUGUUUUCAUGUAUGGUGAUGGCCCUACAAAAACAGUAAUAACAGGUGACAAGUGUUUCGCAAAGGGAAUUCAAACUUCUAAGACAGCACCCUUUAGUGUAGAGGGUAUUGGGUUCUUUGCAAAGGACAUGGGUUUUCAAAACACGGCUGGUCCAACAGGCCACCAAGCUGUGGCUUUGAGGGUAAAUGCUCUUGAAGCUGUGUUCCAUAAUUGUUGGUUUGAUGGUUUCCAAGACACAUUAUAUGUUCAAGGUGGAUCUCAAUUCUUCCGUGAUUGUCAAAUUGCUGGAACUGUUGAUUUUAUAUUUGGUAAUGGUGCUACUAUAAUACAAAACUCAAGGAUACUUGCUAAGAAGUGUGACCCUAACCAAAUGAAUUUAGUCACAGCUCAAGGUGGUGUAGCUGUUAAUGAACCAACUGGUAUUGUAAUUCAAGGUUGUGAGAUACUACCUGAUAAAGACCUUUUCCCACUCAGGUUUGAACUUAAGACUUACUUGGGUCGGCCAUGGAAGAUGUAUGCAAAGACUGUGUUCAUGGAGUCUCUUAUGGGAGACUUGAUCCAACCUAUUGGUUAUGAACCUUGGGCUGGAAAUGCAAAUAUUAAUACUGCAUUUUAUGGUGAAUACGCCAAUCGUGGACCAGGUGCCAAUACAGCAAUGAGGGCCAAGUGGAAGAAUGUUAGGGUCUUAAAUAAGGCUGAUGCCCAACGCUAUUCAGCUGGUGUCUUCUUAGCCGGGGCUCCUUGGGUUAAAGCCGUUGGUGUUCCACUAAAUCUUCUUGUUGCAUAAUGAAUGUGUUUAGGACUCAGGAUUAACCAGACUUCUAUCAGUCACUGAUUUGCUAGACUUUCUUUACUGGAGUAUUAUAUACAUAACAAAUGCAUGAAUCAAUAUUUACCUUCUCUCUGUAUAAUUUUAAAGGUGUAUGGGGAAGGGGGGAAGUGAGAGAUUCAUUUUGAUAUGAGGAGGAAAGGGAUUUUUUAUGUAUAAGAAUUAAAUUGUCCUCCAUUUUAAUAAACACCAAUGUUGGAAAGA